This 253-nucleotide ribosomal RNA is filed under the name uncultured bacterium. Its description in RNAcentral is "partial 16S ribosomal RNA". It matches the Rfam family "Bacterial small subunit ribosomal RNA", at positions 524 to 776 of the family's 1533-position model. The record is from RNAcentral.
UACGGGGGGGGCAAGCGUUGUUCGGAAUUACUGGGCGUAAAGGGCGUGUAGGUGGCCAACUAAGUCCGACGUGAAAUCCCCAGGCUUAACCUGGGAACUGCGUCGGAUACUGGAUGGCUUGAAUUCGGGAGAGGAAUGCAGAAUUCCAGGUGUAGCGGUGAAAUGCGUAGAUAUCUGGAGGAACACCGGUGGCGAAGGCGGCAUCCUGGACCGACACUGACGCUGAGGAGCGAAAGCCAGGGGAGCAAACGGG